AACGAACGCUGGCGGCGUGCUUAACACAUGCAAGUCGAACGGGACGGCCCUGCUUUUUGGGGGUGCUCGACUUGCGAACGGGUGAGUAACCCGUAAGUAACCUGCCCUUGACUUUGGGAUAACUUCAGGAAACUGGGUCUAAUACGAGAUAGGAUCUCCUGCUGCAUGGUGGGGGUUGGAUGGUUUCGGCGGUUGGUGGUGGACUCGCGGCCUAUGAGCUUGGUGGUGGGGUAGUGGCUUACCAAGGCUUUGACGGGUGGCCGGGCUGAGAGGGUGACCGGCCACACUGGGACUGAGAUAAGGCACAGACUACUAUGGGAGGCAGGAGAGGGGAAGAUUGUACAAUGGGCUGAAGCAUGAUGUGGCAACGCAGCGCGCGGGAUGACGGGCAUCGGGUUGUAAUGCGAAUUUGUCUUUGACGAAGCGUGAGUGACGGUAAUGGGUAAAGAAGCACCGGCUAACUACGUG
This 468-nucleotide ribosomal RNA is filed under the name uncultured bacterium. Its description in RNAcentral is "partial 16S ribosomal RNA". It matches the Rfam family "Bacterial small subunit ribosomal RNA", at positions 28 to 507 of the family's 1533-position model. The record is from RNAcentral.